UGGAUUCCAGAGGCAAGCUCCAGCUCAGCCGGACCAGCACCUGCUGUCAAAGCUAACUGCCACACCACCACCUAAACUCCUCCUGGGCCUGGACCCCAUAAACUGGGCCAACUCUCAGCAGCUAAAAAUCCAUGACAGGAUUCAAUUCAAGCUGGUUUGAAGACUUGCACCAGGUAGCAUGUGACCUACUGUAUGAGUGCUGGGCUGGAUGUGACACCUCUGUCUCAGGCCCACAACCCUCACAGUACUGAGCAUCUGACCCACCUUAUAGGAAAGCUGCCUGCC
Long non-coding RNA from Colossoma macropomum (tambaqui), 285 nucleotides. RefSeq lists it as uncharacterized. Lineage: Eukaryota; Metazoa; Chordata; Actinopteri; Characiformes; Serrasalmidae. The record is from RefSeq and is a predicted model, not a curated record. The transcript is spliced from 3 exons.